RNAcentral lists this ribosomal RNA (484 nucleotides) under Microhyla mihintalei (Mihintale red narrow-mouthed frog). Its description in RNAcentral is "partial large subunit ribosomal RNA". The stretch from base 168 to 484 matches the Rfam family "Bacterial large subunit ribosomal RNA", at positions 569 to 1035 of the family's 2925-position model. The record is from RNAcentral. Lineage: Eukaryota; Metazoa; Chordata; Amphibia; Anura; Microhylidae.
CCAAAAACUCAGCUCUAAUUUAUUUCAAAUGCAUUUUCUAAUUAAUCCACAACAAAUAAAACAUUUUAUCAAUCUAGUAAAGGCGAUUAAAAAAUUCUUAGAAGCUAUAGAAACAAGUACCGCAAGGGAAAAGUGAAAUAAAAAUGAAAUAUCUUAAAGCACUAAAUAGCAGAGAUUUAAUCUUGUACCUUUUGCAUCAUGGUCUAACUAGUCCAACCAAGCGAAACGCACUUUAAGUUUGACCCCCCGAAACUAGGUGAGCUACUUAAGAACAGCCUUUAGGGCCAACCCGUCUCUGUUGCAAAAGAGUGGGAAGAUUCUUUAGUAGAGGUGAUAGACCUAUCGAACCUAGAGAUAGCUGGUUAUUCAGGAAAAGGAUUUAAGUCCUACCUUAGGUUUUUUAUACCUUAAAAAUACUUAAUUAACCUUAAGAGCUAUUCAGAUAAGGUACAGCCUAUCUGAAACAGGAUACAACCUCAACCAA